CCUACGGGGGGCAGCAGUAGGGAAUCUUCCACAAUGGGCGAAAGCCUGAUGGAGCAACGCCGCGUGGGUGAAGAAGGUCUUCGGAUCGUAAAACCCUGUUGUUAGAGAAGAAAGUGCGUGAGAGUAACUGUUCACGUUUCGACGGUAUCUAACCAGAAAGCCACGGCUAACUACGUGCCAGCAGCCGCGGUAAUACGUAGGUGGCAAGCGUUAUCCGGAUUUAUUGGGCGUAAAGGGAACGCAGGCGGUCUUUUAAGUCUGAUGUGAAAGCCUUCGGCUUAACCGGGGUAGUGCAUUGGAAACUGGGAGACUGGAGUGCAGAAGAGGAGAGUGGAACUCCAUGUGUAGCGGUGAAAUGCGUAGAUAUAUGGAAGAACACCAGUGGCGAAAGCGGCUCUCUGGUCUGUAACUGACGCUGAGGUUCGAAAGCGUGGGUAGCAAACAGGAUUAGAUACCCCAGUAGUC
RNAcentral lists this ribosomal RNA (465 nucleotides) under uncultured bacterium. Its description in RNAcentral is "partial 16S ribosomal RNA". It matches the Rfam family "Bacterial small subunit ribosomal RNA", at positions 338 to 795 of the family's 1533-position model. The record is from RNAcentral.